RNAcentral lists this ribosomal RNA (505 nucleotides) under uncultured bacterium. RNAcentral's name for it is "bacterial SSU rRNA". It matches the Rfam family "Bacterial small subunit ribosomal RNA", at positions 899 to 1397 of the family's 1533-position model. The record is from RNAcentral.
ACUCAAAUGAAUAGACGGGGGCUCACACAAGCGGAGGAGCAUGUUGUUCAAUUCGAAGCAACGCGAAGAACCUUACCUGGGUUUGACAUUCACGAAGUAGAAACCCGAAAGGGUAACGAUCCGGGCAACCGGUAAACGUGAACAGGUGCUGCAUGGCUGUCGUCAGCUCGUGUCGUGAGACGUUAGGUUAAGUCCUGUAACGAGCGAAACCCUUGUCAUCUGUUGCCACCAGGUCAUGCUGGGCACUCUGAUGAGACUGCCGAUGUCAAAUCGGAGGAAGGUGGGGACGACGUCAAGUCAUCAUGGUCCUUACACCCAGGGCUACAAACGUGCUACAAUGGCUGGUACAGAGAGACGCAAGACCGCGAGGUGGAGCAAAUCUUCAAAACCAGCCUCAGUUCGGAUUGGAGGCUGAAAUUCGCCUCCAUGAAGCCGGAUUCGCUAGUAAUCGCGGAUCAGAUACGCCGCGGUGAAUACGUUCCUGAGCCUUGUACACACCGCCCGU